AAAAUCUGAUUUUGAAGACCCUUUAAAGAGGUUUGUACCAUAUUAUUAUAUGGCAUCUUUAUUAUUAUUUUGGUCACCCAAAUAUUCCCAUGAACAGUCUGCUGAGAGGAACAACCAGAUGCACUCGUGUGAGAUUUGGAAGGUAGAUGGAAAUGGAGGCCAUGCUUCUGCCACUUCUGUGGUUUCUGUUGUUCAGGGCUGUCUGUCAUGAGGUGCCGAGUUCAUCAGGAGGCAUCCCAGUGUCCCGUUACAGCUUCACAGUGUCAAGGGCAGGGCAUGGGCAUCCGUGUUUUUGCCAGUGCAGACCUAGCAGGAACAAAAUGUUUCCAGUAGCUGAGGUGGUGGCAACUUCCGGAUUCUGGAGUGUGCUGUGGCAGCAUGGCCUAGAAUGGAGGGCUCCGCGGUGGCUUUCUGACCCUCCGCCUCUCUGACCAUGCCAGAGGAAGCAGCCUCUCUGGUCUCCUGUUCUGUGACUUUGCUCUGGGACCAUUCCUGGAAGCCCAGCCUAAAACUCGCUCCUCCAACCUCCAACAAUGUCCAACCUUCCUGGGAGCCAUUGCUAUUGGAGGCUUCAUAAAUAUUUUGGGCUUGCACUGCCCUGAAGAGAAACUACCCUUCUCUAUAUGAUGUCCAGGCAGUUGUAACCCUGGCACAGCCUGUGCUCCCAUCCUUAACAGCGGGUGGCAAUUGGAUUUAAGUGGAAAAGCCCUGUUUUCUAGCCAUGACCUAGAGGAGAAGUCUAUGACCCCUGAGGGGGACAGAAGACCUGCCAGCCAGGCCCUGGUGAGCCCCAGGGCUGGCGGUGCUCUAGACAGUCUCAGCUUAUCAGGAUGAAGCUGGAAGGAAUCAAGCCAUGCAGAUAUGAAGGGAAGAGUGUUCCAAGCCGGAAGCCGGGGAGAGGCUGGAGCACGACAGCCAUGUCUAGCUCAUCGCUUCAGACCCCUGGGGGAAGGGAGAGGCUGGCUGGCCAGGGACCACAGGAGAGUUUCUGCUUCAGAAGCGCUUUCUGAGACUCACAAUACAGAUGUCCAGGCCUCACACCUAGAGAUUCUGAGGCGGGGCCAGGGCUCCCUUUUUUUGCUGUUUAAGUCCCACAGGUAAAUAGGGUCUCUCAUAUUUUGCCAAGGGGAGUGUAAUCUGUACAAUUUGGCCAUAACUAUCAGAAUUUUAAGAUCUUAUGUCCUUUGACCUAGUAAUUUCAUUUCCAAGAAUUUCCUCUACAGAGAUAUGCACAUAUUAUUUAAAACGAAGAGGCUAUGAGGAUAGGCAAUGCAGCAAUGUUUGUAACAGCAAAGACUACAAACAAGCCACGCGUCCAAAAAGGCUCUGCUUUUUCAAACUAUGGUCCAGCCUUACAAUGAACACUGCAUCUUUUUGAAAAGACUGAGGAAGUGCUGUGUGAACUGAUGUGGAACCAUCUCCAAGAUUUACUGUGAAGUUAAAAAAGGAAAGAGCAGAACCGUGUGUAGAGUACACUACCCUUUGUACGAUCUGAGAUUGCAUAUGCCCACACCAUCACAUCCGAAAGCUGGAACAGAGGAUGCCUCUGGGAAGGGAGCUGGGUGACUGGGAACAGGGGCAGGGGAGGGACUUGCUUUUCAGAGCAUUUUUUACCUUUUAAGUUUUGUACCAAGUGCCUGUAUAUCUACUUAAAAGAUAAAAAAGGAAAAGGAGAAGCUCCCCCAGUGAUUCUGAUGUUCACAAAGAUUAAGAAUCAAUGUGAGCGAGGCACUGCUGAGACCACCCAGGAGAGAGUGAACCGUCCCAUAAAAUACAAAAGACCGUUCAGCAGAGGAUGGGGACGUUUGUCCACGGUAGGAGUGGGUGGGACUGGGGUGGCGCAAGCUAGGAAUGGAGGGCUAGUCCCAGGGCCACACAACCAGGUGAAACCGUGGUGUAUGUGAGCCUGGUUCUUACUCUGAUCUGACCCAAGAGACAGCAGUUUUCUUUCUCUGGAAUCCCACUGCCCUUUGGACUGUGAGCUGUGGUUCCAGCUCCUGGAUUCUGACCAGCAUCUUUCUUCAAAUCUGUCAGUUUUUCUGUCCCAGCCUCUCUCGCUUCCUUUCUGCCCCCUACCCUUCCUGCGUAGCCUGGCUUUGCAGAUAAGACCUUAUCCAGACAUCAGUAGUUUUGACAUCCCCUGUGACAAUGCUCCCUGGUGUCCCAUUCACAGAAUAUCCCAUUCAUUCUCUUUCUCUCUCUUUUGCUGCCUCCAAGUCUUUGCUCAUGUCUGUUCCCAGCAACCUUUCUCUCCUCCAGCACAUUCUGCCUUAAAUUAUUAGUUUCUCGAAACAGAGCCUAUCAGUCUUCGCAGCACUACCUUUCUUAUCUCAUCGCUCAUCCCAAAGCUUCUUUUCCUCCCACCACGCCCGCCUCGCUUUCUGCAGAUCUCUUAGACCCCAUCCUGGUGUGCAUAGGGCACAAGUCUCUCUCAGGGCACAUAUUCACAGAUAUGAUGUCCAUGUUCACAGUUAACUGUGGCUUCUGCCAUCCAGACGGGCUUACCCUGAAUAAAUACAUAUUCUAGGAUGUGGAAAAUAUGCAGGACUUAAAUGCACAGGCUCUAGAUUCAAUCUCCCCGUGAUUAAAUUCCUUCUCUGCUAGCUGCACGAUUAGACGUGUGACCUUGAGAAAAUUACUUAACUUCUCUGGGCCUCAUUUUUCUCAUCUGUAAAGUGGGGAAAAUGACAGCAUUUGCCCCAUAGGAGGGUAAAAGAAGAAGGUGUAAAUAAAGUGCUGACUGUAGGGCCUGGCCCAUAUCAAGCUCUCCCAAAACAAUGGCUAUUUUGUUAUUUUUACAACAACAAGUGAUUUGGCUUUAGAACUGUUUUCUAAACAAUGUUCACUUGUUUUAUACCUGGACGCUAAACCUAUUAUAUGAACCUAAUGUAUGGAGACCAUAUCUUUUUAACCAACAUGUGUAUUUCUGGCAGAUUCGAUAUACGUCAUCUCAUCUGGUCCUUAAAACAGCUGGGUCCCAGGUGAGGUACGUGGUUUCACUUCACCAUUCCUAUUGUACAGAGCUGUGGGCACAUUAAAUAGCUUCUCCAAAGUCACCGCCAAUUCUAGCCUAUAGAUCUCCUACCUCUUUCCAUUAAACCACAUAGAUCAGGCACUGGCAAACCUUUUCUGUAAAGAACCGGAUAGUAAAUAGUUCACAUUUGUGGACCACAUACCGUCUCUGUCUCAUACCCUGCUUUUCAGUUAGUUUGUUUGUUCUUAAACAACCCUUUAAAAAUAUAAAUUCUUAGCAAUAGGCAGGUACAGAAACAGACCAUAGGCCACCUUUGGCUCGACUGUUGUAGUUUAUCAAGCUCUGAUAUAGUUUAUGCUGAUAAAUCAAUAUAAACCUAAUGAAAUGGAUAUACUUAAGAAACCUUACCCUUUGUUAACAAUAAUUGUUAAUAUUUGUUAAAUGUUUACUAUGUGUCAAAUACUGUUCCAAGUUUUUUACAUGUAUUAACUUAUCCUCUCAGCCACCCUAUUUGUAGGUACUGUCGUCAGCCCCGUUUUAGGAAUGGGAAAACUGAACACAGGGAGGAGGGUAAGUAACUUUCCCAACGCCGCAGGGCCAGUAAGUAGCCUAGCUAGUGUUCAAAUCCAAGCAGUUCAGCACCAGAGCCUGGGCACUGAACCCACCUGAUUGUCAGCUGGGGGCACUGACUUGUACAGCGAUGUGGGGGAGGGGAGAAAGGGGAUGGCAGGAGCUGAGUAAACCCUAGAAGCUCCUGGAAUAGAUAGGUUUCAGAACCAUUCACCCUGAAGCUAAGGAGGCGUGGAUACAUGCCACCUGUGUUUUAUGAAGAAUGGCCAGGCUGGAAACCUGUGAUGGCUUUCCUUCAUGCCACAACAAUAGAGGAUGUGCAUGAGACUGCAGAGGCAUCUUGAUUUGAGAAAAGCACUUGAUUGGAUCUCAUUAAAUUUUAAUCAUAAACUGAACUCAAAGUAAAUUGAAAACUUGUUGACAGAGCACAAACAAAGGGUGAGGAUAACUGGCGAUGCAUCUAGAGAGGGGAUAUCUUCCAGGGGACGCCUCUGAGGCAAGGAUGGAUGGGAUUUAAUGAAGGUGUUAUGUCCCUGGAAGAAGACAAAUAGCAGAGCAAGAAACAGAGGAAGGGCAGGAGUGAGCAGCCUGAGUAAUUAAUAAACCACAUUACCAGCUCCUAAAUGAUCAAGGCUUGCUGUUACCAACUGCUUGGAUUUUUUUAAAAAAGCAUUCUUUGGGUCAACAAUAGGGUUGAAGGGUCCUAGAGACACACAGCAUGAAUAUUUCAGGUGGACAUAUUAAUAAAUAUAUAAAUUUACAGCUAGGAAGAUCCUCAGAUGCACUUUGGACCAGAUCCUUGCAGUCACAGAUUCUCAAGGUCUUACUUCAUUCUCCAGGGAGUAAUUUUUUUCAUAACUGUCCAAAAAUUUGGGAUUUAAAAAAAAUCUUUAAACUCAUUAAUGUUCUUUGUUUACUGCCCCAACGCAUGCAAACUCUCCCAACAUUGGUUUGCUUAGUGGAAGUUGGUUUUGAGUGAACUGUGUGGCUCAGGUUCAAAUUCCAGUGAGGAAAUAUUUCCAAGUUUACUUGCAGAAUUUCCCAGACAGAGAAGUUCUUCCAUUUGGUUUGCCAGAGGAUUGGAAGCAGUGGUGAGCCCUGGAGACAAGGGAACAUUUACUGGCCCUUGUUCAUACCCUGCACAGUACAGCUCACAGCAGGCUGAAGGCGGUGCAGCGUGACCCGACCUGAUGUGCGGAAGUUUGCUCUGCAACUCCUCUGAGCUGCUCAACUCAAUGACGGGGCUAAUGGGAAAGGACUGACUCCACCACGCUGGAAGCUGGUAAAAACCGUUUAGAGAACAACCUCAAACCAGCCCAUGGGUUCUCUUGUUUGUUUGUUUUGUUUCAGAUAAGGUUUCUCUAAACACACGUUCGUGAUUCUUAAUUCAGUCCAGACCCCAGAGUGAGGAAAAGAAGGGGCAGAAAGGAAAAAAAAUCGGCAGAGGGAGGAGAAGGGAUAGAAAGGAAGAAAGGAAAAUGGAAGAGAAGCAACGAGAGUGGGAAACCUUGAAGGAAAAGUUUAAAAAACUCGUCCUUUAUUGGUGGAGGAGAGAGGCUUGCUUAAACUGUGAUUUUUACGUAUUACAGUUGGAAGGGAAGGGAAAGAAUGAAUGCAGGCAAAAGGCAAAAGUGUUACAGAGCAUUUGAAAAUCACUAACACCUUAAUCUUGAGAGAAGCAGGCUUACAUAUUUUCCAUCUUUGCACCCUCCCAAAGUGAGUACCCCUGAGUUAAAAGUCUGCUCCCCAACAUGCUUUCACUCCUAGUCAGCCCACCCCAGGCACGGAGCAGAGCAGGGGCUUCUGUCAAGUGCCACCUCAUCACAAAUGACACCAGAUGAGGAAUGACUUUGGGUGGCCUUUCUGGAUCAAAGCUAGGCUGGCAGCAAAUAACAGCCUGAUUUCAGAUAGUGGUGCAUGUUAUUUGAAAAGAAAAAAAAAAAUCAGUAACUCAUCACAGGUGAAACAUCUUGAAAUUCCUGUCCUCCCAACCCAGGGUGAUAGAGAGAGCCAUCUAAAAACAUGACAGGGGCCAUACCAGGGCCUUGAUAUUCCACAGAAACAGCUGAGCAAUACCGAAAGCCGUGAGUCAGUCCAUCCCACACAGUCAGGGCCUGUUUGAACUGUAUGGAGGGAGAGUAACAGCUCAAAAGAAACAAUAAGGAUUUUUUUUGAAAAGCUUAAGGAUUCUGUGUGUCGGUCAUCAAAUAACGCGUCUGAUCCUAGUCAUCACCCUUACGUGGUAUCUAGACGUGCUUCACAGCUUCCCUUCACCCCCCAUUAAAGGCCCCACACACAGUGACUGGUCUAGCCAAGGAGUGGUUUCCAGCUCCUGCUAAGUCAGUAACGUAGCCUUCUGGAGCCAGGCUCGUCUGCCAGCUCUCGGGCCUGCCCUGACUCUGUGGGCAAGUGCACGGACUGGUUCUUCCUGGGUAACCCAAAUGGGACAUAAAUUAAUUCAAGAAACCCCCUGCUUUCUCCUAUUUAACUAGAGCCAAGAAUAACACCUAAAUUCCAGGCAGCCUCCUGCAGAGCCACGUGGCAGCCCAGCACACCACACCGCCGCUGCUCUCAGCCUCUUACCCAGGCUAUGGCUUCACCUUUUGCCUCGAGAGCAGAUGCCCUUAAAUGGAUUGGGAAAAGCCUGAAAGAUGCUUCUGUCAAGUACUGCCUUUGGAAUACAACCCAUCAGGAAGAACAAGAGGAAUCUUUUUUUCCAAUUCUCCCACCAACUGUUUCCCCAGAUGUGAGCCUAAGGGCUCUGUGGGGAGAUACCAAGCGUUGCAGUGCUGCUUUUAAUUGCUGGUAGCUGGGCCUUCCUCCCAUCUCAGUUUAUCCCGAGCAGAAAGGCAGCACUUGGGGGAAGGAGUUAAUGGUUCCUACCUAGGAGCCCUUGCUGGGGCCCCACUGAAAAGCGGCCUGAGGAUGUAAACUGUUUAGAGAGGGUGUCCUGAACACAAGAAACUUCCAUCUGAACAUGCCUGAGGCAGUUACAGUGAAAUAUGGAUGACAGGGAAAGUGUCAGAGAGCCUAGGAAAUGAACACCUCCGGCCCCCAGCAGUACCCCCUGGUGUUCUCAGGCUAAUACACACACCCUUUUAGCUGGCAUCACAGGAGACGAACGCUUAUUUAAAAAAAUAUUUCUUAUUUAUUUAUUUAUUCAUUUAUUUUGGUUGCACCGGGUCUUAGUCACGGCACGCGGGAUCUUCAGUUGCGGUGUGCGUGCAGGAUCUAGUUCCCCGACCAGGGAUCGAACCCUGGCCCCCUGCAUUGGGAGCAUGCAGUCUCGCCCACUGGACCACCAGGGAAGUCCCAGGAGAGGAACUCUUCACUGAGGACCUACCAUAUACUACUUGCUAGUGCAUUUAAUCCUGCAAACAGUCCUGUGAGAUGCAUUUACUACUGUCAUUCCCACUUUACCUUUGAAGAAUCUGAGGCUCAAGACUUAGAGUAACCUCUCCAGGGUCAGCCAGAUAGUCUGUGGAGAAGGAUUCCUGCACUGUCUCAUUUCUAGGUGGGGAUGUUUCCUCCCGUUCCUUUGUUGCCCUGCUGUAGUCUGUCCUUCCUUAUGUGCUUGGAUGGAGCCCACAUAACUUGUUUUCUUUGCACAAUUCUUGACAACAACGCUUAAUGUGGGUGGGGAAAGGUGUAGGCAAUAAAAGGGUGGGGCUGAGACUGUGCCGGUUCCCAAAGUGCAGUGUUUACAUAUGGUGAAGGCUGCUGUGUGCAUAAUAGGGCAGUCAAGAGCUGGGCCAGCCCUCUCCCUCUAGUUAAAAGUCUAGGAGGGGAGGAUUUGUGCUUGCCAGAUUCUAGAGUGGCUCAGUAUUCUUGCAAAAGGCAUAAUUCCAUAAAGGUCAGCUUUCCCCACCUCUGUAAACAAAACCGUUUGGACCUAAUGCUCAGAACUUGUCAUUCUACAGCUUUAAUAGAUGGAAAGAAAGGAAAAAAGAAAAAAGGAAAAGAUUCAUUCCUUGGACAAGCCUUGAGUUUCCAUUUUUAAAUGCUAUGAUUCUAAGUGCUGAAAUGGCAGAGCGAAACUAUGACACACCACGAGGAAGAGAAGAAAACUCCUGUCCUGCAUUUCCCGGAGGAUGGUCUUCACCCAAAGGGUCCCUGGUGUUGGCUAACUCUCCCCAUAACUCAGUUCUGGCGUCACUGCUGGAACCUAGGCAGGAAGAGAAGAAACACCCAGGCUCCCAGUGCCUGGUCCUGCCCUUCUGGCUAACUCCAGUCCCACAACCUUUAGUGAGCCUUGCCUUAUUCCAGACGUGCACUGGGUGCUAGGCACGCAAAUUGUAAGAUUCUCAACAUGUUCUUGUGUCUCUUUCAGAAGCAAAAACUGGGGAGAUACAGGCAGUUCGAAAUAAAUUAGCCACUAGACAAAGCUGUA
Lagenorhynchus albirostris (white-beaked dolphin) is the source of this 7934-nucleotide long non-coding RNA. RefSeq lists it as uncharacterized. The record is from RefSeq and is a predicted model, not a curated record. NCBI's taxonomy places the organism in Eukaryota, Metazoa, Chordata, Mammalia, Artiodactyla, Delphinidae. The transcript is spliced from 5 exons.